This 1218-nucleotide long non-coding RNA is filed under the name Strigops habroptila (Kakapo). RNAcentral's name for it is "lncRNA (ENSSHBG00005008767.1)". The record is from RNAcentral. Lineage: Eukaryota; Metazoa; Chordata; Aves; Psittaciformes; Psittacidae.
UUUUUUCAAAAAUGUGUAAAAUUACAUGUAGCUUUGAAAUAUGGUUGUAUGAUAAAAACAUGAAGAAUAUAUUUUAGUGAGGCAACUGUAUAUUUCCAAUGACUGGAAUGAUUAUGGAUGUCACAUUCUAUGGAGAUAAUUCGCCUAAACCAAUGUUCACGUACCAGUAGUUCUAGUAAUUCUCAAAAUUAUAACCCAGUUAAAUUGAUGUAAGGUUAAAUGUUAGAAUUUAUGAUGUUUAUCUUAUAAUCUGAUCAAUUUUUUAUCAUUGAUAAAAAGAUGAGGAGUUAAGCAUUGCUUUUCAAUACCACUGGUGAUGUGAGAAUUCAUGGUAAUGACCGUACAUAUUAAGAAUUUAGUCUGUGACAUCCCUAAUUAUCACAAGUCAUUAUUUAAAAUAUCUACUAAUGUUACCAGUAUCCUUUUAAUUUUUUUGUAAAUUAAUUUCUUUGUAUAUUGAUGUAUAUUUUGGUUUAACCUUUGGUUUUCCCUUGAGAGCUUCUUUAAUAUACUUGAAUGAGGCAAUAAAGCACUGUGGAACAGCUAGGCUUGGUGCAGCUUAUACACAAGCACAUCUUGUCUGUUCCUUCAUGAUUUUUGAGGAGGAAGAGAAAUUUGAAAUGCUUACACGUUUAGCCAACUGACAAUUAGUGUUUGUUACUUUCAGAUCUGUGCCAGAUGUGAGAAAUGCCUCAACAUGGAACAAAACAAGAUUAUGUAUCCCCAUCCUACUACUUUUUUUUUCAGAACUUUUUGUUUUGGUUAGCUUUUGAAACUGUUCCUAAUAAUGUCCUCUUUGUAAGCCUUUAAUACUUACAGGAAAGGCAUAAAGUACAAGGCAUUUUGAGGUUUUAUUGAUCAUUUUAAUAAUUUCAGAGAUAUAAAAGACCCCAAACAACCAGCAUUGUCCUAACAGUUUUAAAAAUGUAGUUAGUUACUGACCGUUAAUAAAACUAGAACCAAAUCUAAGAAUUUACUCCAUGCUUUUGCACCCUCUGGACUACUGUUCAAAGUCAUCUCAAGAACUGUAAUUCAGACCUUAGACUACUGUCAGUAGCGCACUGUCUAGAUGUAGUAAAUGAGCUGUGAUGUUUGGUGUGUUUUGUUUUUUGCUUUAUCCUUCCAAAUUUGUGGCGUCAGUAGAAGUUUUUGGUGAACUCCACAUUACCAUAAAGUGCCCAACACUGUACUAUAAAAUAAAACUUAACAAUAUCAGAA